RNAcentral lists this long non-coding RNA (2244 nucleotides) under Capsicum annuum. RNAcentral's name for it is "long non-coding RNA (CANN_LNC012348)". The record is from RNAcentral. Lineage: Eukaryota; Viridiplantae; Streptophyta; Magnoliopsida; Solanales; Solanaceae.
GUUGACCUUCCUCAAUGACGCAUAGAUAUUGAGAACAAAUGGAUUCUCAAAGUUAAACAGAAGUCAGAUGGGUCAAUAGUAAGACACAAAGUAUAAUUGGUGGAAAAAUAGUUUACUCAAGAAGCUGAAAUAAAUUAUGAGGAAGAUUUUUAAUCAGUUGUGAAGUUUACCUCAAUUCGCUUACUAUUUACUAUUGUUACACGUUUUGUUUUAGAAUUACACAAAAUAGACAUGAAGACCACUUUUAAUAUUGAUAAAUUUACAUAAAACAACCUGUAGUUUUCGUUGUUAAAGGCCACGAAAAGAAAGUUUGUAAAUUGAAGAGUGCAAUUUAUGUCCUAAAAUAAUCUUUAAGACAGUGGUACCUGAGAUUUCAUAAAAUGGUUAUUUAAUUUUAUUUCACCAUGAUCGCUGAAGGCCAUAGAAUCUAUGAGAAGAAGUACGAUGAAAUAUUUGUAAUGCUUUCCUUAUACGUGGAUGAUAUUUAUUUGAUGAAAGUAGUUUUGAGUAUGUAAAAACUGUCAACUCAUGAAUUUUAAAUUCAUUUGAUAUGAACGAUAUGGGUGAAAUCGAUUAUAUAUUUGGGUGUUAAGAUCCAAAGAGAAUAUUCCAAGAAAUUUAUAAGUAUUUCAAGAACUUUUUACGUGGAACAACCUGUAGGUUUCAUUGUUAAAGUCUAAGAAAAGAAAGUUUGUAAAUUGAAAGAAUUAAUUUAUAGCCUAAAGAAAUCUUUAAGUCAGUGGUACCUGAGAUUUCAUAAGGAGGUGAUUUCAUUUGAUUUCACCAUGUUUGAUGAAGACAAUUGUAUGUAUGAGAAGAAGUCCAAUAAAAUGUUUGUAAUUCUUUUUCUAUGUGUGGAUGAUAUUUUAUUAGACGAAAGUAGUUUGGAGUACGUAAAAACUGUCAAUUCAUGGCUCUCAAAGUCAUUUGAUAUGAAUGAUAUUGGUGGAACAGACUAUAUAUUGGGUGUUAAGAUCCAAAGAGAUUAUUUGAAGAAAUUUUUAGUAUUCCUAUGAAAUUUUUGAGUUUAUCUCAAGAAACAUACAUAAAGGAAAUUUUGAAACAUUCUUGAUUGAAUAGUUGAAAAUCCAUGAGUGCUUCUGUUGCUAGAUGUAAAAAUUUAUGCCUUUAAAUAUGUUCGAAGAAUUAAAAAAAAAAAAAAAGACACAUCUCAAAUUCUAUAUCGUAGUGUUGUUGGGAGCUUGAAGUACUCUAUGAUGUGUACUCGCCCAAACAUUUGUUAUACUAUAGGUCUGGUUAGUAGCUAUCAAUUCAAUCCUGGCUCGGGUGAGACAGAGGUGUUUCCGUGAGCUUCAGAUCUUUGAGGAUGCAUGAUCUGAAAAGCAAACAAAUGAGAAUUAGAGGAAAAUUCAGGACCUUAGACUCUACAACUCAAAAAUAGAACAGAAGAAAGAUACUACGCAGAUUAUUUACUAUUUUAUAGUGGAUCUGAUUUAUCAUAAGAGGUUAUGCAAAUGUUGAUUAGAUUGGUGACCGAUAUGAUAGAAAAUCGACCUCUAGUUAUGCUUUAUUACUAAACGGUGGUGCUAUUUCAUGAAAAAGUAAAAAUAAAAAUGCACAACCCUUUCAACCAUGGAAUCUAAAUUCGUGGCUUGUGCAUCCAUAGUACAAAAAAUCUAUUUAGUUGAAAAGAUUCUUUGAGUAUUUGAAUAUUGCAAAGAAUUUUAAGGGUCCGAUGAUUUUAUAUUGUGACAGUCAAGCAGUUAUCGCAUAUAUGCAGGAUCAUAAUUAUCAUAGGAAGAUCAAAAUGUUGAGAUCAAGUAUAACUUUGUGAGAGACAUUGCUGUAGGUGGAGAAAUAAAUAACAAUACAUUCUUACAUGAGAAAUGAUAGUUGAUCCCUUAACAACGAUGACAUCCAGAGACUUGUUUGAGAAAUAUCUUAUGACUCUAAUUUUGUGUAGGAUAUGAUUGCAUUUUUUAAUGUAAAAUAAAUUGAUUGUUAUUACUUUCUCAUCAACGAACACUUUUGUGUUGAAUUUAAGUUUAUAUCUCACAUGCAUGUGAUAAAGUCUGUCAAACAAGUCGCGAGAUUAAAUCUCUCACACAAAUAAUCGCCUCAUAUAUUGAGAACAUAAAGAGAAGAAUUCCACCACCAUGUUAUGACUUGUUUUGUUAGCCAGAUAUGAGUCUCUCUAAGAAGAUGGAUUUGAGGAUCAUUUAAGAGAGAAACUAAAGUUAGAUAUCUAGAUGUGUCUAGACCAAGAUCUAUAUGUUCUUGAAU